Molecule: long non-coding RNA, 355 nt
Filed under: Vitis vinifera (wine grape)
Lineage: Eukaryota; Viridiplantae; Streptophyta; Magnoliopsida; Vitales; Vitaceae
Description: long non-coding RNA (VVIN_LNC007865)
Source: RNAcentral
GUUUGGAACUUACUUCUUCAGAAAAUGUAUGAUUCUCCAACAAUCCCUAAUUUCACACCCAUAAAUUCGCCAAUCCAUUUACAAAAGGUAGACACCUCUAUAUGCAAGUGGAGUUAAGUCUCCUGUGGAACGUGGACUAGGGCACCGUAGGCCGCACUCUUCUGCUGCAUGAGGCUUGACCCGAGGCUAGCCCUUUUGCCCCUUUUGGAAAACUGCACUGUAGGUGCUCUCUCUUGACCGGCCUAACCCACUUCUCCGAACGAGGUUGAGGGUUUUCUUAUCAUUUUAGGGAGCCCCAUAUUCAAAAGCUGUUGAAUUGUUUUGAGUAUGUCCAACGGAAGACAGUUGUUGCAAC